This is a long non-coding RNA of Planococcus citri (citrus mealybug), 680 nucleotides long. RefSeq lists it as uncharacterized. NCBI's taxonomy places the organism in Eukaryota, Metazoa, Arthropoda, Insecta, Hemiptera, Pseudococcidae. The transcript is spliced from 3 exons. The record is from RefSeq and is a predicted model, not a curated record.
UCUACGUAGUAUGAACCUAUAAUGUGUACGUUAUCCUCACAAAGCUAUAAGAAGUAUAAUUUAGCCCUCUUUCUCCUCAUCAUCCAAUUGUAAGUGAAGGAAAAAGCACUCGACGGGAUAUCGCAGCGUUCAUCUGUACAUGGUAAAGCAUCGCAGAAUCGAAGGCGUCUGGAACUCACGCAAAAUUUUAAAUUAGUCGUCGGCGAUAUGUGAAAUUUCGUUGAACUUUACUUCUCUGCUUCACGUACCGUUAUCAGAGUUAUACGUAAUAAUACCUUCAUUCGUCAUUUAUCUCUUUCAUUGUCAUUCCGUUUACACGUUCGAUAAAUAUUCCAGCAUCCAACAGGCAACAGCCAACUCGUGUGUAACCUGUUUACAUGGAUUUAUUUAAUAUACCUGAUUACCUGCAGGAAAUUUCAUCUGCGGCGUGUUGUCUUGUCUGUCAAUAAGUACACGCGUUAUCAGUUGCUAUCGAACGAAGUAAUCUGUCGAUCGACGAUCAGCAUCAUUAACGGUGAUUUUUUGCGCUAUUUUGAGGCCAAUUUUUUCUCGAAGAAUGUUCGUUCGGUAUCUGAAUUCUAUUCUCAGUGUAACCUUGAUCGAAAUAAAUACCAAAUAGUUAUACUCGUAUUUACGCUAUCAAGAAGGAACUUAAUAUGUAUGAAAAUGCAGCAUUAUUG